CACCUAAUAGCUAGCUAAACAACC
This 24-nucleotide ribosomal RNA is filed under the name Atlantirivulus santensis. RNAcentral describes it as "partial 16S ribosomal RNA". Lineage: Eukaryota; Metazoa; Chordata; Actinopteri; Cyprinodontiformes; Rivulidae. The record is from RNAcentral.